This is a non-coding RNA of Paramuricea clavata, 1302 nucleotides long. NCBI's taxonomy places the organism in Eukaryota, Metazoa, Cnidaria, Anthozoa, Malacalcyonacea, Plexauridae. The record is from the annotation of a GenBank genome assembly.
CAGGUUCGAAAAGAGUGAACAAAUCAAAAGUGAGACACUGAGACUAAGAAGCAUAGAGGAGGGGGUCUGGAGGGCAAUUUUACUUAUUAAAAAUCGGGCAAAUGAUGAAAGGAAGUACGACGCGUAUCACCGAAAUAGCAAGAGAUAUGUAACGUUGGGAAAUGUCAUAAUUGACGAAUCGGUUGUUUUCGCGGACGGUGACGCCCGUAAAUUUUUGGAAGGCAUUUUGUAUAGGUCGGGAAUUUCCAUGAAUGUUGGGCAAAUUUUUGUCCACCCCCCUCCCAAUUUUUUUCCUGUACUAGGAAGCACAGUCUAAUACAAUCCCACCAGAAUAAUGUUGGUUUAGGUAAAGUGGAUUUGCAAUACAUAUCAUCUAAUUACCAACAUUGUAGAGGGACGGGGGGUGGCAAAGUUUGAAAAUUCAAAAAGUCUACGAAUUUUUUUCUAGGAUUGUCAUAGAAUCGAAGACUUACUCGAUAGCCCGCUAAGGACUUUUGGUCACUUAGGGGACACUUAGGUACGAUAUAAAUUCAACAAAUUGACGUAAUUUGUCGAAUGCAUAACGCAACUUCAAUAAUUUAGGUCAGCGGUGAUGUUACCUAACCCGCACCUUCAACCCCCACCCUAACUUUAAAUCCAGACGUCAGGGUGAAGGUUUAAUGCGGGUGAAGCAAUACAAUGCCGACCUACUAAGUCGCGUUCUGCAUUCUACAAAUUACCCCCGCCACAAUUUGAUAUAUGCCUCGCAUUCACUCUGAUAUAUAUUACAGCUAAAGAACCAAACACUGCGACGCUCGUUCUUCUCUGAUUAAAUAACAUACGCUUCAAUCCUUCAUAUUCUUUUAUUGUUGCUUCCACCAGGGGCCGGUUGUUCAAACGCUAAUCCAGUGUUAAAAUUUAACCCACUGUUUUGAUUUAUAUGCUUCUGCAUGUUAGUUCAUUUCACAACUUCAGAAAAUAAAACUUAAUUGAUCUAAACAAGAUUCGUGUACAAAUAUUUCCGAACUGUUUAUAAAAAAGCAGUUUUGAGAAGAGUGCUUUGAAUUUCACGCUAAAUUAACCCUAGCUGGGUUAAGUUAUCCGGCUUUCGAACAACCGGCCCCCGCAGGUUAUGUUUUCAUCCGCGUUUGUAGGUGUUUGUGUAUGUGUGUUUGUGUCUGUGUCUGUGUGAUUGUCUCUGUGCGUUUAUCUCUGUGUGUUUGUCAACAGAAUGCGUAAUAAUUUGGUUAUGGAUACAGUACAUAUCUCCAAGUACCUUCCAGUUUUGAAAUCUAUUAACCUAUAACACUACAAAUAUAUAUU